UCCUUGCUACAGAGCAGUAGAGACAGACAGCUGCCAAGCUGAGCACGCUGAGGAGACAUGCACAAACCCUUUAGUUCAAUUGGCCUUCCUCAAUCCACAGCUUCCUUGGCCCCUCAUCUGUUCUCUGAUAUCUGGGCUGCUUCCAAUUUGGAUUAUUAUAAAUUACACUGCUGUGACCAUAGGCGGGCGGAGAUGUCUUCAGACAGAGACCUUUUAAACCACUUAUUUGCAUCAGUUUCCAAAGUAUGAGGAAUAAAAUUGCCCCCUUGAGGGAGCUGGGCUGUGGUACGCCCAGUUAAGCGCCCAGAGUAUGAAGCCCAAGGACAAACACAAGGACCCGAGUUCAAGCCCCUAGCUCCCUUCCUGCAAGGAGGACACUUCACAAGUGGUGAAGCAGGUCUGCAGGUGUCUCUCUUUCUCCAUCCCUCUCUACCCCCCCGCCCAGUUUCUGUCUGUCCUGUACAAUAAAAUGG
This is a long non-coding RNA of Erinaceus europaeus (western European hedgehog), 473 nucleotides long. RefSeq lists it as uncharacterized. The transcript has 3 exons. Lineage: Eukaryota; Metazoa; Chordata; Mammalia; Eulipotyphla; Erinaceidae. The record is from RefSeq and is a predicted model, not a curated record.